Molecule: ribosomal RNA, 561 nt
Filed under: uncultured bacterium
Lineage: Bacteria
Description: bacterial SSU rRNA
Rfam family: Bacterial small subunit ribosomal RNA
Source: RNAcentral
UUGAUNCCUGGCUCAGAUUGAACGCUGGCGGCAUGCCUUACACAUGCAAGUCGAACGGCAGCACGGGCUUCGGUCUGGUGGCGAGUGGCGAACGGGUGAGUAAUGCAUCGGAACGUACCCGGGAGUGGGGGAUAACUAUCCGAAAGGAUAGCUAAUACCGCAUAUUCUGUGCGCAGGAAAGCAGGGGAUCUUCGGACCUUGUGCUCCCGGAGCGGCCGAUGUCAGAUUAGCUAGUUGGUGGGGUAAAGGCCUACCAAGGCGACGAUCUGUAGCGGGUCUGAGAGGAUGAUCCGCCACACUGGAACUGAGACACGGUCCAGACUCCUACGGGAGGCAGCAGUGGGGAAUUUUGGACAAUGGGCGCAAGCCUGAUCCAGCCAUGCCGCGUGAGUGAAGAAGGCCUUCGGGUUGUAAAGCUCUUUCGGCCGGGAAGAAAUCGCACAGGUUAAUACCCUGUGCGGAUGACGGUACCGGCCAUAAGAAGCACCGGCUAACUACGUGCCAGCAGCCGCGGUAAUACGUAGCUACGUGCCAGCAGCCGCGGUAAUACGUAGGGUGCGA